CGCAGCCGCGGUAAUUCCAACUCCAAUAGCGUAUAUUAAAGUUGUUGCAGUUAAAAAGCUCGUAGUUGAAUUUCGGGAUUAAUAUGUUGGUCGUGCCUUGGUACGUACUGGCAUUAUUGGUUCCUACCUUCUGAAGAACCUCGAUGUCAUUAAUUUGGUGUCUUGGGGAAUCAGGACUGUUACUUUGAAAAAAUUAGAGUGUUUAAAGCAGGCUCGCGCUUGAAUACAUUAGCAUGGAAUAAUGAAAUAGGACGUUUGAUCCUAUUUUGUUGGUUUCUAGGAUCGACGUAAUGAUUAAUAGGGAUAGUUGGGGGCAUUAGUAUUCAAUUGUCAGAGGUGAAAUUCUUGGAUUUAUUGAAGACUAACUACUGCGAAAGCAUUUGCCAAGGAUGUUUUCAUUAAUCAAGAACGAAAGUUAGGGGAUCGAAGACGAUCAGAUACCGUCGUAGUCUUAACCAUAAACUAUGCCGACUAAGGGAUCGGAUGAUGUUAAUUUUUAA
Molecule: ribosomal RNA, 500 nt
Filed under: uncultured Glomus
Lineage: Eukaryota; Fungi; Glomeromycota; Glomeromycetes; Glomerales; Glomeraceae
Description: SSU rRNA
Rfam family: Eukaryotic small subunit ribosomal RNA
Source: RNAcentral